GCCUUCGUGGUGUAGUGGUCAGCACACUGGACGCGUAACCGAGAGGUCCGUGGUUCGAUUCUCAGCGAAGGCG
Molecule: transfer RNA, 73 nt
Filed under: Stegodyphus mimosarum
Lineage: Eukaryota; Metazoa; Arthropoda; Arachnida; Araneae; Eresidae
Rfam family: tRNA
About the family: Transfer RNA (tRNA) molecules are approximately 80 nucleotides in length. Their secondary structure includes four short double-helical elements and three loops (D, anti-codon, and T loops). Further hydrogen bonds mediate the characteristic L-shaped molecular structure. tRNAs have two regions of fundamental functional importance: the anti-codon, which is responsible for specific mRNA codon recognition, and the 3' end, to which the tRNAs corresponding amino acid is attached (by aminoacyl-tRNA synthetases). tRNAs cope with the degeneracy of the genetic code in two manners: having more than one tRNA (with a specific anti-codon) for a particular amino acid; and 'wobble' base-pairing, i.e. permitting non-standard base-pairing at the 3rd anti-codon position.
Source: Rfam by way of RNAcentral